CAGUCGCCGCGGUAAUACGUAGGGUGCGAGCGUUAAUCGGAAUUACUGGGCGUAAAGCGUGCGCAGGCGGUUUUGUAAGACAGGCGUGAAAUCCCCGGGCUCAACCUGGGAAUGGCGCUUGUGACUGCAAAGCUAGAGUGCGGCAGAGGGGGAUGGAAUUCCGCGUGUAGCAGUGAAAUGCGUAGAUAUGCGGAGGAACACCGAUGGCGAAGGCAAUCCCCUGGGCCUGCACUGACGCUCUUGCACGAAAGCGUGGGGAGCAAACAGGAUUAGAUACCCGCGUAGUCCCUGUCUCUUAUAC
RNAcentral lists this ribosomal RNA (301 nucleotides) under uncultured bacterium. RNAcentral describes it as "partial 16S ribosomal RNA". It matches the Rfam family "Bacterial small subunit ribosomal RNA", at positions 509 to 807 of the family's 1533-position model. The record is from RNAcentral.